CUCCAGGAGACUAUUUACCGGGAAGGGGCACAGCCUGGCAUGGCAGCCCUCAGCAGAGGCCAUCCCUGCAGAGCCUGAAGUUCAACCAAAGAAAGGGGAAGGGCGCUGAGCUGGUGCAUGCCAGGCGGUAGGGGACCUGAGGCCCGAGAGUGACCCUUCCAAGCUCACGGGCAGCUGGACACCAGUGACUUCCAUGGCCAACACCUGCGUCUGUACCAUCACGAAUGGCCCCGGGACACAGAAGACAGCAAACCUGCCUGUGGGCAAGGAGGCUUCUUGAAGCCACAAGCGGCGCGGGGAGUCUGGGUGGUGAGGCCGCCUGCCUCCUGCCUGCUGAGGAGACAACGCUGCAGCUGUUCCCACCAGUGGCCCAUGCUGGCAGCCAUCUGACUCCAGUCCUGCCCAGGACAGCUGGGCCAGGCCAGGCUUCGAGGGGCUGAGAAUCUGUCAACAUGAUUAUACAUUCAGGAGCUGUGGUCCAUGGACCGGCUGCCUUACUCAGGACCCCACUUACCGCCAGACCCCAGGUGCCCCAGCUCCAGUGGGACCACAACACUGCUUCAGGUCUCCAGCAGCACAGACCUGGCGGACUUCUAAGGUUCUGACAGAAGAGGCCCCAUGGAGAGGCCCAUGAGGUGCAGAGCUGAGGAAGUCCCCACAAGUGGGAACCUGAACCCACCACGCCCCCCGAGGGAGCGUGGAAGUGAGUCUGUCUCGGUCGACCCUUCUGGUGAGACCACAGCCCAUUCAGCACCUUGAAGGAGAGGAGCAGUUCAGCCACAGCUGGAUCACAGACCCACUGAAACCAGAGGACAAUAAACUGCUGUUUUAAGCCACCAAAGUGGGUAAUGUGGGGUAAUUCGUUACACAGCACGAGAUCGCCCAUGGCGUUGAAGGUGGGGUGGGCUGCGGGCCCUGCGGGUGCCAGCGUGUGCUGUGGCGGCGACAGGACCGGCCCUGGUGGAGCUUGGCCGUGAAGGACCAGGGCGGGGCGGCCAUCCACGAGGGUCUGCGGGAUGAGAGGCGAUGCCAUAGAUGCGUCUGUCAGACGGUCGUGGAGAAAACGGAUGAUGGGGAAUGAGGCGUCUCAGAGGGGCUCCCUGAGCAGGUGGGGGCCAGGGCGGGACAGCUGGGACAAAGGUAGGCAGAGGGGCAGAGAGCUGGGGUUUGGGGAGGGAGGAAGAUGGAGCGGAAGGGGGCGGGUGGCUGGGCGGGCGUUUCUCCAGCCACGUCCAACUGCCCGAGUCAGGAGGACUCGCCACGAGAGGUGCUGAGGGGGCAAGCGGCGGUCACUGGUGGCGGGGAUCUGAGCUGGGCGAGGAGGAAGGUGAGGACAGGCAGGGUGUCAGGCAGGGAGAACCUGAGCAAAUCAAGGCCACCCUGCGUUCCCACCACACACCCACCCAGGUGGCCCUGAGAACGGAAAAUCCCCGCGUGGGCCAGGAUGUGGCGCAGCCGCCACGGAGAGCGCUGCGCAGGGUCUUCAGAAAGCUGGAGGUGGGGUCCCCAUGUGACUCAGGCCUCACUCCUGGGUCUGCGCCUCAGAGCUGACAGCAGGGACCCAGACAAAUGUCUGUGCAGCAGCGUUGUUCACAGGAGGCAAAGGUGAAAGUGCCCCAAGUGUCCAGGGAUGGAUGACGGAUGAGGAAACAUGGUCCACCCACGCAUGGAUUGCCAUUCAGCCUUAAAAGGAAGGGAAUUCUGACAUGCGCCGGAACACGGGUGGACCUGGAGGGCGUCCUGCUCAGGGAGGGAGGCCGGUCACAGACGGUCAAGUAGGAUCCAUGUAUGUGCGGUCCCGAGAGUCGCAGAUUCACAGACACGGAGAAUAGAUGGUGGUGCUGGGGGCUGGGGGAGGGGGAAUGGCGUCAGCAUUGAAGAGGGACAGUUUCAGUUUGGGAAGAUGGAAAGUUCUGGAGAGGAUGGUGGUGAUGACUGCACUUAAUGCCGCUGAGCUGCAAAAUGGCGAAAUGGCAAAUUUAUGUCACGUGUAUCGUACCACAGUGAAACGUCAACAGCAGAGCCCGUUUGGAGCAGUGUUUCCAUCCUGGCAAGAGCAGAACGCAGGCGCCCAGUGAGCUGCGAAGAUGCCCGCGUGACUCCAGUGCCUGUGAGGAGCUCGCUGCUCUCACGCUUGCAUCAUGUUUGCAUCUAAAACUCACCUUGCUCAGCGCAGAGACAGACAGUGACAUUCGUGAUAACGAGUUGAAAUGUGAUGUGUCUUUACUUAGAGCGACAUUACAAAAACAAGUAAAUGGCACCACAGCAAAGAGGAACAGCUUUGUAUUUUAGUUCCUUCAAUGUCACUCCUUCCGGCUUGUUGAGCAAGGGGGCCCUGUGUUGAUCACGUGGCCAGCGGGCAGAUCUGGGCAAGCCUUUCCGUCUCACACGUGCUUCUUGGCCAACAUACACACAGGUGGUAAAUACGGGGACAGUUAGGGACAGCUGCCACACUGCCCUGCCGGCGCUGGCUGGAGGGCUGAGGCCUGACAAGCCCGUUCGGUGGCCUGGGGGCACGCACACGCUGUUUGUGUCAUUACUGUUGAAACUGCACACUGUGUGCUCUUUGCUGGGUGUGCGUUGCAUUUCAUGAUUUAAAUAUUAAAAUAUGUGUAUUUUUUUUUCUUUUUUAUUUAACAAUAUGUGUAUUUUUAAAAAAGGCGUUUCCUGGGCAGAUCUCCCACCACCUCCUGAGGGCCCCAGUCCCAGGCUUGGGAACCCAGAGGUGCCCUGGGGUCGUGGAGGGAGACCAGUGGGUCUCGGGGGUGGGGGGCGUUCUGCAUUUCUGACAGCCCCCGGGACCCCAGCUCGGGGCCAGGGCUGCACCACCCACGUGGGCCCCUCCUGGCCUGUGUGAACUGAGCUGCCUGCAGCGUGGGCGGUGCAGGGGCUUAGGCCUGAGUAGAAAAGAUGUGCACUGUCCUUAUUGCCUGUUUAUAUUAACUGCCUGUUGAAAUGAUAAUAUUUUGGAGAUUUCGGGUUAAAUAAGCUCAGUUAUUAAAAUUAGGUUCACCUGUUUCUUGCUAGUGGGCUCUUCUCCACCACUGGCCCAAAUCACAACCAGAUCUUUUCCUGUGCCUGCCAGAGAGCAGGGAGCUGGCAGGAGGGUAUGCCCUAGUGCCCAACCGCCGUUCCCAGAGAGCGAGGCUUCCCGUCCCCCCAGCUCCCCCAGCCCCAUCUGACCAUGACCAGGCAACCAGAGCCCCUUCUGGUCCCACCCAGUCCAGGCUCCCCUUUUCCUGCCUCAUCAGACCCCCAGCCAGGCAGAUGUCCUCCCACCCUCGGUCCCCCCAGGUCCUGCCACCCCACACACCCAUGCUCUGCCCAGUUCCCUGUCCCGUACCCAACCUGGCCAGGUCUGGCCCCCUUGAGCCCAUCCCAGAAGCUGGGGACUGAGAAUCUGUGGCAGCCUCCAGGCAUCUGUUCAGAAUCGCCCCGACCUGCCCCACAACCCGCAGGCCCACAGGAUGGGCCAGUGGCCCUGGGAGGGCAGAGCCGGCAGAGCAGGCCUGGCCCAGACAGACAGAUGGACAGAAGGCCAGCAAAGACGUCCUGCCUCCUCUGCCCGCAGCACCACCACUAGGGCACAGGGACACGGGGCCAUCGUGCAUGGACAUGUUGGCCUGGGUGAGGUCCUGCUACGUAGGGCCCCAAGGGGGCUCUCCUAUGAGCAGCUGGGGGCACACACGCUGAGGGGCACAGGUGUGGGAGGGGCAUGCCAGCCUCGUGCAGGCAGGGUGAGGGGCACCCCUGCGCAGCGUGGUCAGGCCUGCAUGCCACUAGGCAGUCACACACAAGCGCACACGCACAUGCAGGCAUGAAUGUGCACAUAGGCGGCUCCCUGACCACCAGCCUUCCAGGGAACCCAUUUGUCAUGCAAACAACCCCUCCAGGGGGCCCUGCCAGCCUCCAGAGGAGGUUCCAGAGCUGUCACCUGCCCAAGGUGAGGCCUGGGCUCAAAGCUGGUACCCUGCAGGGCCCUGUUGGGUCAUGCAGCCCCCUCCCCACACGGGUAGCAGCUGAGAGAUCUCCCGCCUACAGAGGGGCCCCAGCUGCAGACCCAGACUGGACUGGGACUUGACCCCAGCUGCAGGCUCAAUGCCGGUGCCACCCUUAGGAGCCCCAGUGUAGCCAGUUCCUUGCAGGGUGGGGACAGGGAGGGCCAGGUCUCAUUCCUCAGCUGUUUCCAGGGUUGUGAGCUAAGAGGGAAGGUGCUCAGCCCUGUGCCCACAGGGCCAGGACACAGCCCCCAGGCCUCAAGCUAAGUGGACCAGUCUAUCUCUCCUCAGGGCGGGUCUGUUUCCCAUCUGCCCCUACCCAUCUAGAGCGCAGACCGGGGGUCCCGGAGAGCCUCAGGCUCGGGUCUUUGGCCUCUGGGUCCAGCCGCCAUGUGGGGCCAGGAUGGUGAGGCCCUGGGACACUGGCUGAGUGACAGAGCCCAUGGCCUUCCUCGGAGAGAGGCUCCUGCCAGGACCGGGGGGCCUCGGGAAAGCCUGGCCCGGUGGGGGCAGGAGCCCAGCAGGUUGAACAGUGUGGACCCCGGGCCACAGGCAGGGACCACUCUGCCCUGGCCCUGCGGACCCCUCCCUCCUGGCCCAGUGCCAAGGCCUGCCAGUCCCAGGACUCGGUGUGCACAGGGCGUGUGUUUGCUCAGGACGUCUGGCCGCGGGACAAAGG
Long non-coding RNA from Hipposideros armiger (great roundleaf bat), 4677 nucleotides. RefSeq lists it as uncharacterized. NCBI's taxonomy places the organism in Eukaryota, Metazoa, Chordata, Mammalia, Chiroptera, Hipposideridae. The record is from RefSeq and is a predicted model, not a curated record. The transcript is spliced from 5 exons.